UAUUUUAUGAGUUUGAUCCUGGCUCAGAAUGAACGCUAAUAAUAUGCUUUAUACAUGCAAGUCGAACGAAAUUUUAUUUCGUGGCGUACGGGUGAGUAGUGAUGCAGAAUGUUACCUUUUAGUUGAGAACAAAAAUGCUUUUAAGCAUAAAAUUCUUAGAUAUUUAAUAAAAGUCAAAAUAGUUUACUAUUUUGUCUGCUAAAAGAUAGGUCUGCGUAAGAUUAGGUUGUUGGUUAUCGUAAUAGUUUACCAAGCCUACGAUCUUUAGUUGAUCUUAGAGGAUGAACAACCACACUGGAACUGAAAUAAGGUCCAGGCUGAUUUUUCGGCCAGCAGUAAGGAAUAUUGGACAAUGAACGAAAGUUUGAUCCAGCAAUAUUAUAAUGAAUUAUGACGAUUGCUAUAUGCAGUUGCAAGAUUCUUUCGUUAAAAAUGAUAAUGACGUUAUUUAACGAAUAAGUCCCGGCUAAUAUUCGUGCCAGCAGCCGCGGUAAAACGAAGGGGGCGAGCGUUAUUCAUCAUGACUGGGCGUAAAGAGUUCGUAGACUGCAAAGUAAGUUUUGUGUUAAAGAUUGAAGCUCAACUUUUAAAAAGCACAAAGUUACUGCUUUGCUCGAGUUUUAUACAGGAGAAUAUAAUUUUAUUUGGAAGGGUAAAAUCUAAUUAUAAAUAAAGGAAUGUCGGUGGCGAAGGCGAUUCUCUAGUAAAAACUGACGUUGAGGAACGAAAGUGUAGGUAGCAAACAGGAUUAGAGACCCUGGUAGUCUACACUGUAAAUCAUGAAUGCUGUAAUUUAACGAAAAAUCUUUAGUAGAUUUUUUUUAGAUUUUUAAGCUAACGCUAUAAGCAUUCCGCCUGAGGAGUACGAUCGCAAGGUUGGAACUCAAAGGAAUUGACGGGGGCCUAACACUAGUGGUGGGGUAUGUGGUUUAAUGCGAUAAUCCGCGCAAAAUCUUACCAGUCUUUGACAUAAAAAAUUUUUUUUCAUUUUGUUUUUAAAAUGAAAAACAAAUUUUUAUACAGGUGUUGCACGACUGUCAUCAGCUCGUGUCGUGAGAUUUUUGGUUAAGUCCUUUAACGAGCGCAACUCUUUCCUUUAAAAUUUUUAAUUUUCGGUUUUUAAAAGUCAAUUGAUUUUUUAAAAGUGUUUUAAAGGUACUGUCAGUGAUAAACUGAAAGAAGGAGAGAACUAAGCCAAGUCAAUGUGACCCUUAUAGAUUUGGGCUACACACGUGCUACAAUGAAAACUACAGAAAGUUACUAUCAAUUUUUUAGUUAAUCUUUAAAAGUUUUCCCAGUUCGGAUUGCAAACUGAAACUCGUAUGCAUGAAGUUGGAAUCACUAGUAAUCGCGAAUCAGCAUGUCGCGGUGAACAUGUAAAUUGGCCUUGUACACACCGCCCGUCACAUGCAGAAAGUUAGUUUCACUUGAAGGUUUGGCUAAAAUAUUGUUGAGUCUAUUGAGAAAUUGAUAAUUUGGAUGAAGUCGUAACAAGGUAGUGGUACGGGAACGUGUCGCUGGAAUGUUUAUAA
RNAcentral lists this ribosomal RNA (1532 nucleotides) under Navicula ramosissima. RNAcentral's name for it is "bacterial SSU rRNA". It matches the Rfam family "Bacterial small subunit ribosomal RNA". Lineage: Eukaryota; Bacillariophyta; Bacillariophyceae; Naviculales; Naviculaceae. The record is from RNAcentral.